CAGUAGAAAACUCGGGAUCCCGUCCGCUCUCCCCUAGAUAAGCUACUGACUGCCAGACUAGUACUCAGGUGGGUGACCACUGGGGAAUCCCUGGUGUUGUAUGUUUUGCUGUUCUCUACACAUCCCACAACUUUU
This 135-nucleotide ribosomal RNA is filed under the name Podospora comata. The record is from RNAcentral. Lineage: Eukaryota; Fungi; Ascomycota; Sordariomycetes; Sordariales; Podosporaceae.